UCUGAUUUGGCUCAUCAGUGGUUAAAGCAUUGGACCCAUAAUCAAAGGUGUGCGGGUUCUAUUCCCGCAAGCAAGAG
Molecule: non-coding RNA, 77 nt
Organism: Potamilus streckersoni
Lineage: Eukaryota; Metazoa; Mollusca; Bivalvia; Unionida; Unionidae
Source: the annotation of a GenBank genome assembly